AUUGAACGCUGGCGGCAGGCCUAACACAUGCAAGUCGAACGGUAACAGGAAGCAGCUUGCUGCUUUCGCUGACGAGUGGCGGACGGGUGAGUAAUGUCUGGGAAGCUGCCUGAUGGAGGGGGAUAACUACUGGAAACGGUAGCUAAUACCGCAUAAUGUCGCAAGACCAAAGAGGGGGACCUUCGGGCCUCUUGCCAUCGGAUGUGCCCAGAUGGGAUUAGCUUGUUGGUGGGGUAACGGCUCACCAAGGCGACGAUCCCUAGCUGGUCUGAGAGGAUGACCAGCCACACUGGAACUGAGACACGG
This 306-nucleotide ribosomal RNA is filed under the name uncultured bacterium. Its description in RNAcentral is "bacterial SSU rRNA". It matches the Rfam family "Bacterial small subunit ribosomal RNA", at positions 30 to 329 of the family's 1533-position model. The record is from RNAcentral.